GUGAAUCAUCGAGUUUUUGAACGCAUGUUGCGCCCGAGGCUUGUCCCGAGGGCAUGCCUGCCUGAGCGUCAUC
This 73-nucleotide ribosomal RNA is filed under the name Symphyogyna brasiliensis. RNAcentral describes it as "partial 5.8S ribosomal RNA". It matches the Rfam family "5.8S ribosomal RNA", at positions 84 to 154 of the family's 154-position model. Rfam says of the family: 5.8S ribosomal RNA (5.8S rRNA) is a component of the large subunit of the eukaryotic ribosome. It is transcribed by RNA polymerase I as part of the 45S precursor that also contains 18S and 28S rRNA. The record is from RNAcentral. Lineage: Eukaryota; Viridiplantae; Streptophyta; Jungermanniopsida; Pallaviciniales; Pallaviciniaceae.